This 550-nucleotide ribosomal RNA is filed under the name uncultured bacterium. RNAcentral describes it as "bacterial SSU rRNA". It matches the Rfam family "Bacterial small subunit ribosomal RNA", at positions 355 to 896 of the family's 1533-position model. The record is from RNAcentral.
UAGGGAAUCUUCGGCAAUGGGGGCAACCCUGACCGAGCAACGCCGCGUGAGUGAAGAAGGUUUUCGGAUCGUAAAGCUCUGUUGUAAGUCAAGAACGAGUGUGAGAGUGGAAAGUUCACACUGUGACGGUAGCUUACCAGAAAGGGACGGCUAACUACGUGCCAGCAGCCGCGGUAAUACGUAGGUCCCGAGCGUUGUCCGGAUUUAUUGGGCGUAAAGCGAGCGCAGGCGGUUUGAUAAGUCUGAAGUUAAAGGCUGUGGCUCAACCAUAGUUCGCUUUGGAAACUGUCAAACUUGAGUGCAGAAGGGGAGAGUGGAAUUCCAUGUGUAGCGGUGAAAUGCGUAGAUAUAUGGAGGAACACCGGUGGCGAAAGCGGCUCUCUGGUCUGUAACUGACGCUGAGGCUCGAAAGCGUGGGGAGCGAACAGGAUUAGAUACCCUGGUAGUCCACGCCGUAAACGAUGAGUGCUAGGUGUUGGAUCCCUUCCGGGAUUCAGUGCCGCAGCUAACGCAUUAAGCACUCCGCCUGGGGAGUACGACCGCAAGGUUG